UAGGCCUCUACGACUUAUAACGUAUGAAUUUAUCCAACAAAUCGCCUAUCUUAAAUUUUCAAAGGGAAAUAACUCCCAUAAGAUGUCUUCCGAUCACUCAAGUCAAAAUUAACCAAAUCAUUCUUAAGAGUAGACGAACAAUUUGGUGAAAACAGUUUGCUAAAAUCUUUUAUGGUUUUAGAGAUAUAGCGAUAACAAGAAAAAGGGGACGCGGGGAGAUAAAUCCUAUAAGAAUAAGUGUUCGGUCACACAGGGUGAGUUAUGAAACCCCCAUUACUGUACAACAUCAUUGGCCAAAAAUCCAUUCGAUAUGUUGUAAGACAAAAAAGCAUCUC
Molecule: long non-coding RNA, 335 nt
Filed under: Mytilus galloprovincialis (Mediterranean mussel)
Lineage: Eukaryota; Metazoa; Mollusca; Bivalvia; Mytilida; Mytilidae
Source: RNAcentral